GGCGCCUCUCUUUCUCCCCACGCGCAGCCCCGUGCAGGCUUCUCUGACGACGCAGCUGUUUUGCGGCGCACACUCGUGACGCAACGUCCGCAACACUAUUUUGGAAAACGGCGCGACUCGUUCGAUCCCUUGACCGGUUAUUCUGAAGACGGGUACUAGUAGGAUCUCGAGUCUACAUUCCAACAUGUCUGCCUGUGGCGCAUGGAGAUGAUGGAGGCUCAUUGAAGUUUAUUUCCGCUGUGUUUGCUUUGGAUUUUUUUUUUAUUUGAGCUAGUCCAAGUGACUAUGCAAUUUGUAAGACUUUAUUUUAUCUCCUGAGGAUCUGCGUUGUAAUAAAUUUGAUACUAUUGCUAUGAUUACUACAUUUGAAAUGUGUGUGCUAUCAGUGAUCCCGGGAAUAGCACUAUACACAGGUAUCUUGCCUUUAUUUAAAA
Molecule: long non-coding RNA, 434 nt
Organism: Lolium perenne
Lineage: Eukaryota; Viridiplantae; Streptophyta; Magnoliopsida; Poales; Poaceae
Source: RefSeq, a predicted model, not a curated record